GACGGGGUUUCACCAGGUGGCCAGGAUGGUCUCAAUCUCUUGACCUCGUGAUCCGCCUGCCUUGGCCUCCCAAGGUGUUGAGAUUACAGUCGUGAGCCACCAUGCCUGGCCGACGUUUAAUAGUUGUUUGGUUGUGAUCACCAGAAGAAGAAGAAGAGAACAGAAAGAGGAGAGAAGAGAUUUUAAAAGGUAACUUGAAAUGUCUUAUGAUUAUUGGAUAGAAAAGCUUUGGAUUUGGAGGUACUAUGAUUC
This 252-nucleotide long non-coding RNA is filed under the name Homo sapiens (human). Its description in RNAcentral is "HSALNT0101308". The record is from RNAcentral. Lineage: Eukaryota; Metazoa; Chordata; Mammalia; Primates; Hominidae.